RNAcentral lists this ribosomal RNA (1010 nucleotides) under uncultured archaeon. RNAcentral describes it as "bacterial SSU rRNA". It matches the Rfam family "Archaeal small subunit ribosomal RNA", at positions 19 to 1036 of the family's 1478-position model. The record is from RNAcentral.
GGACCCGACUGCUAUCAGAGUGGGACUAAGCCAUGCGAGUCAACAUAGCAAUAUGUGGCAUACGGCUCAGUAACACGUAGUCAAACAUGCCCAGGGGACGUGGAUAACCUCGGGAAACUGAGGAUAAACCGCGAUAGGUCAUCACUUCUGGAAUGGGUAAUGACUUAAACCUAUAUGGCCCCUGGAUUGGACUGCGGCCGAUCAGGCUGUUGGUGAGGUAAUGGCCCACCAAACCUGUAACCGGUACGGGCUCUGAGAGGAGGAGCCCGGAGAUGGGCACUAAGACAAGGGCCCAGGCCCUAUGGGGCGCAGCAGGCGCGAAACCUCUGCAAUAGGCGAAAGCUUGACAGGGUUACUCUGAGUGAUUUCCGUUAAGGAGAUCUUUUGGCACCUCUAAAAAUGGUGCAGAAUAAGGGGUGGGCAAGUCUGGUGUCAGCCGCCGCGGUAAUACCAGCACCCCGAGUGGUCGGGACGUUUAUUGGGCCUAAAGCAUCCGUAGCCGGUUCUACAAGUCUUCCGUUAAAUCCACCUGCUUAACAGAUGGGCUGCGGAAGAUACUAUAGAGCUAGGAGGCGGGAGAGGCAAGCGGUACUCGAUGGAUAGGGGUAAAAUCCGUUGAUCCAUUGAAGACCACCAGUGGCGAAGGCGGCUUGCCAGAACGCGCUCGACGGUGAGGGAUGAAAGCUGGGGGAGCAAACCGGAUUAGAUACCCGGGUAGUCCCAGCUGUAAACGAUGCAGACUCGGUGAUGAGUUGGCUAUAUGCCAUCUCAGUGCCGCAGGGAAGCCGUUAAGUUUGCCGCCUGGGGAGUACGGUCGCAAGACUGAAACUUAAAGGAAUUGGCGGGGGAGCACCACAAGGGGUGAAGCCUGCGGUUCAAUUGGAGUCAACGCCGGAAAUCUUACCGGGGGCGACAGCAGUAUGAAGGUCAAGCUGAAGACUUUACCAGACAAGCUGAGAGGAGGUGCAUGGCCGUCGCCAGCUCGUGCCGUGAGGUGUCCUGUUAAGUCA